ACUCAAUUAAUCAUAUUUAAGAUUAAUGAAGUUCUCGGAUAAGGAAACUUGGACUCUUCAAAAGGAACCGGUAACAAAGAUUCUUGAUUGGAUUGGAAUAAUUCUUCAGAAUGGUGUACUGGAUUAAUUGGAUCAGGAACCAGUUAAUUUUCUUGUUUAUUAUUAAAGAUUUCAACGUCCAGCUUCAAAAAUACAUUCAAUUAUUUAAUGUACGGAUUUUCGUCCAAUUCUUCAUUAAAACUCUCAUAUGAUCGAUGGUUUUCGUUCUUGACAGGCUAAGUUUAGCGUUUUCAAUGGUUUCAACUGGACAAACAUGAAUUAAAAUAAGAAAUUAAUGAAAAAAGAAAUUUGAGGUUAUGUUACUGUCAAAAUUACUUCGUAUUGACUUUACGUGGAUUAAAAAACGUAAAUAGCAAAUAAAACAUAAUGAAUUCUAACAUAAUUACAACAUUUUAUUAGGUUUUGUAUUGUGUUCUGCUAGUCGUUUUGAUAAUUUUCUCCCUGUUUGUCCGAUAUAUAUAGCUUUGCAGUUGACACAUGAAAUAGAAUAGACUCCACUGCAAUUGUGUGUUUCCUCUUUAUUCUUGCAAUUGCUGAGCAAUUUAAGAAUGCUGUUGUUAGUUUUAUAGCUAACUUUAAUGUCGUGGUUUUGUAAAAUGUGCCUAAUUUUAAAAUUCAAAGGAUUGUAAGGUAAUGAACAAUAAUUAUCAGGAUUUUGGAUGGUCUUUUUAAAUAGAGGAUCAUGUUUUAUAAUGGUUUUAUACAAGAGUGUAUCAAUAAGUUGCAAAGGAAAUGUACCCCCGUUCCAUAUGCAAAAUAUAUUGUAAUAAAAUCCCUGUUUCCGAAGAAACAAAAAAUGCUAAUUAAAUUUAAGAUCUUUAGUAUUAUAGAUUUGACUAAGUAGUAACGUAUUGUUAUGAUUUUCGCUUAGAUUUAAGAAAAUUUAGGGCGAUGUGCAAGAAAGAUGAUGAGCUUCAAAUUUGACCUUGUCAUUUACAUUUUUGACAGGUAUUGAUUUUGGCGACUUUUCAGACGAUUUUAGAUUCUAAAACCAUGCGAGAUCGAUAGAUUGUAUCGAUUUAGCCCAUAGGCCGCAAUUUCAUCCAUUUCUGUAUCAUUUUAAAUAUUUAAAUUCCAAUUUUUCAUUUCCAAACUUCAACAUCAAAUUACGAUUUUCUCGAAAGAAAUUGACACCCGAAAGCGCGU
Long non-coding RNA from Onthophagus taurus, 1206 nucleotides. RefSeq lists it as uncharacterized. Lineage: Eukaryota; Metazoa; Arthropoda; Insecta; Coleoptera; Scarabaeidae. The record is from RefSeq and is a predicted model, not a curated record.